Molecule: long non-coding RNA, 473 nt
Organism: Syngnathus acus (greater pipefish)
Lineage: Eukaryota; Metazoa; Chordata; Actinopteri; Syngnathiformes; Syngnathidae
Exons: 2
Source: RefSeq, a predicted model, not a curated record
CAGCGAGACCAACCGCAUCAGAGUCACGUGCUACCAUUGAGACCAAUCAACUCACGCCCCACGCCGACCGACAGGAAGUUGUCACGAGCAUAGAGGCGGAACAGGAAGCAUCCACAGACACAGAAUUGGCGGACGCUUUAUCUGCAUACGAAGGCGUGAACCUUCCUCACAAGUCGACAAACAAAGUUAGAGUUAAGCGUCGUGACACAGGACGAGGGGUUCAAAGAGGAAGGAGGAGGAGGAGGGCAACCUUCUACAACACACGCCACUCAACCACCAGGGGGCCUGAGCCGGCACGCGAGAGUCAUCACCACAAGAAUAGAAGGCGUCCUGUAAAGUGCAGUGGUAAUUGUAUCUACAAAAGUUGGUUACAAGAAUGUUUUAAGGUAAUACGUAUUCUGACAGAUUUGGCCGAAUCAAGAUAGGUCUGAUUUUUUUUUACAACACUGUGUUGUUUCUGUUGUGAUUUUCUU